ACUCUACAGGGAAAUGUGUUGUUUUGGGAUACUAAAGGUGGACGUAUCAAGACGUUCCCUAAGCUCUCUGAAUCAGGAAACUUCUCCAUCCUCCUUCAGAAAGUGCAGCCGUAUGAUCUGGGUCUCUACCACUGUGAGCUGUUUAACGGGACCGGCUGCAGAAUUGCGUAUCAGGAGCUUCACCUGUGUGAUACCAUCCAACAAAGCCAAGAGAACUAUCAGUUAGUGUGGAGCACAGUUGGAGCAUUCUCAGGAGGAAUUGUGCUGCUUGCUGUAUUCACAACCUGUUUAUUACAUGCAAAACACAGACAAGAUUUCAUUGUUAUACAAACUGACUGUGAAAACGUUGUGGGUGCAACAGCACACUCAGACAGAGGAAGGUUACACAAGAAACAACAGAAAGCAUGACAUCAUACCUACUGCUAUCUACAUCAACUUUCCAGUUAACAGGUAGGACA
This is a long non-coding RNA of Ictalurus furcatus (blue catfish), 458 nucleotides long. RefSeq lists it as uncharacterized. The transcript is spliced from 5 exons. Lineage: Eukaryota; Metazoa; Chordata; Actinopteri; Siluriformes; Ictaluridae. The record is from RefSeq and is a predicted model, not a curated record.